Panicum hallii is the source of this 362-nucleotide long non-coding RNA. RefSeq lists it as uncharacterized. The record is from RefSeq and is a predicted model, not a curated record. The transcript is spliced from 3 exons. NCBI's taxonomy places the organism in Eukaryota, Viridiplantae, Streptophyta, Magnoliopsida, Poales, Poaceae.
UAGUUCAAUAGGCAAGCAGAUGGCGUAUUGAGUCCUUUGCAAGCCAAACAUAUCAUAACAGGGAUUAAUCUUCAAUGUUUGGCUGCCAUCCUUCAAAAGAAAGAAAGCCUCUAUGAAUUAGAUGACUAUGAUAACAUAAUUGAUUGCAUCUCUUGUCGUGCUGGUGAAGAAUUUGAUAGCUAUUCGGGUAAAGUUGGUGAAGCUGAUACUGAUGGAGUUGAUACAGCUUACCGCCUCCUUGCAGAUCAUAUGAGAAUGAUUUCUGUUACUAAUGCUCCUGGUUCUCAGCUUGGGCCUGGACAUGAAGGUCGUGAGUAUUUCCUUAAGUGUGCUGACAAACUGGCUGUGCAAUACUGCCACAA